This is a long non-coding RNA of Clarias gariepinus (North African catfish), 497 nucleotides long. RefSeq lists it as uncharacterized. The record is from RefSeq and is a predicted model, not a curated record. NCBI's taxonomy places the organism in Eukaryota, Metazoa, Chordata, Actinopteri, Siluriformes, Clariidae. The transcript has 3 exons.
GUCAACACAGUCUUCCAUUCUGGGCAACGGAAAACAAUCUGCUUUGGUGACACUAUUCACCUUUCUGUAAUCCGUGCAAAAUCUAAAAGAAGCAUCGGGUUUCAGCACCAACAAACACGGUGAGCUCCACGGGCUCGAACUGGGAAUGGCUAAACCAUGCUUAAGCAGGUACUCUACCUCUCCUCUCAUCACUUCUCUCUUCUGGGGAUUAACACGAUAAGGAUGUUGUUUUAUCGGCGACGGGUGUGUAAGUUCGACAUCAUGGAAUAUCACAUGGGUUUGUCUGGGAAUGUCUGAAAAGAGAGAAGAGAACUCAUAAAUCAGAGAAAUCACAUCUGUUCUUUGGGAGGAUGAGAGACUCAACUUCAAGAAAUGGAGAAACAGUUGCCACAGAUGACAUUUUUACAUCAGGCUCCACAGACGUUGCUCUAUUCAAGGUCCAGAAAACCUGGAUGUUAAUGAUGACCCUGGAAGAGGAAGGAGGACCAACACUAAAU